GGGUUAUUGGUAUAGGGGUAGCAUACCUGCUUCGGGUUUUCAAGCCCGGCUUCACAGCUGAAUUUGCAGGAGACCCCGGUUCGAAUCCGGGAUGACCCC
This is a non-coding RNA of Myxozyma melibiosi, 99 nucleotides long. Lineage: Eukaryota; Fungi; Ascomycota; Lipomycetes; Lipomycetales; Lipomycetaceae. The record is from the annotation of a RefSeq genome assembly.